This 2901-nucleotide ribosomal RNA is filed under the name Escherichia coli. Its description in RNAcentral is "23S ribosomal RNA". It matches the Rfam family "Bacterial large subunit ribosomal RNA". The record is from RNAcentral. Lineage: Bacteria; Pseudomonadati; Pseudomonadota; Gammaproteobacteria; Enterobacterales; Enterobacteriaceae.
GGUUAAGCGACUAAGCGUACACGGUGGAUGCCCUGGCAGUCAGAGGCGAUGAAGGACGUGCUAAUCUGCGAUAAGCGUCGGUAAGGUGAUAUGAACCGUUAUAACCGGCGAUUUCCGAAUGGGGAAACCCAGUGUGAUUCGUCACACUAUCAUUAACUGAAUCCAUAGGUUAAUGAGGCGAACCGGGGGAACUGAAACAUCUAAGUACCCCGAGGAAAAGAAAUCAACCGAGAUUCCCCCAGUAGCGGCGAGCGAACGGGGAGGAGCCCAGAGCCUGAAUCAGUGUGUGUGUUAGUGGAAGCGUCUGGAAAGGCGCGCGAUACAGGGUGACAGCCCCGUACACAAAAAUGCACAUGCUGUGAGCUCGAUGAGUAGGGCGGGACACGUGGUAUCCUGUCUGAAUAUGGGGGGACCAUCCUCCAAGGCUAAAUACUCCUGACUGACCGAUAGUGAACCAGUACCGUGAGGGAAAGGCGAAAAGAACCCCGGCGAGGGGAGUGAAAAAGAACCUGAAACCGUGUACGUACAAGCAGUGGGAGCACGCUUAGGCGUGUGACUGCGUACCUUUUGUAUAAUGGGUCAGCGACUUAUAUUCUGUAGCAAGGUUAACCGAAUAGGGGAGCCGAAGGGAAACCGAGUCUUAACUGGGCGUUAAGUUGCAGGGUAUAGACCCGAAACCCGGUGAUCUAGCCAUGGGCAGGUUGAAGGUUGGGUAACACUAACUGGAGGACCGAACCGACUAAUGUUGAAAAAUUAGCGGAUGACUUGUGGCUGGGGGUGAAAGGCCAAUCAAACCGGGAGAUAGCUGGUUCUCCCCGAAAGCUAUUUAGGUAGCGCCUCGUGAAUUCAUCUCCGGGGUAGAGCACUGUUUCGGCAAGGGGUCAUCCCGACUUACCAACCCGAUGCAAACUGCGAAUACCGGAGAAUGUUAUCACGGGAGACACACGGCGGGUGCUAACGUCCGUCGUGAAGAGGGAAACAACCCAGACCGCCAGCUAAGGUCCCAAAGUCAUGGUUAAGUGGGAAACGAUGUGGGAAGGCCCAGACAGCCAGGAUGUUGGCUUAGAAGCAGCCAUCAUUUAAAGAAAGCGUAAUAGCUCACUGGUCGAGUCGGCCUGCGCGGAAGAUGUAACGGGGCUAAACCAUGCACCGAAGCUGCGGCAGCGACGCUUAUGCGUUGUUGGGUAGGGGAGCGUUCUGUAAGCCUGCGAAGGUGUGCUGUGAGGCAUGCUGGAGGUAUCAGAAGUGCGAAUGCUGACAUAAGUAACGAUAAAGCGGGUGAAAAGCCCGCUCGCCGGAAGACCAAGGGUUCCUGUCCAACGUUAAUCGGGGCAGGGUGAGUCGACCCCUAAGGCGAGGCCGAAAGGCGUAGUCGAUGGGAAACAGGUUAAUAUUCCUGUACUUGGUGUUACUGCGAAGGGGGACGGAGAAGGCUAUGUUGGCCGGGCGACGGUUGUCCCGGUUUAAGCGUGUAGGCUGGUUUUCCAGGCAAAUCCGGAAAAUCAAGGCUGAGGCGUGAUGACGAGGCACUACGGUGCUGAAGCAACAAAUGCCCUGCUUCCAGGAAAAGCCUCUAAGCAUCAGGUAACAUCAAAUCGUACCCCAAACCGACACAGGUGGUCAGGUAGAGAAUACCAAGGCGCUUGAGAGAACUCGGGUGAAGGAACUAGGCAAAAUGGUGCCGUAACUUCGGGAGAAGGCACGCUGAUAUGUAGGUGAAGCGACUUGCUCGUGGAGCUGAAAUCAGUCGAAGAUACCAGCUGGCUGCAACUGUUUAUUAAAAACACAGCACUGUGCAAACACGAAAGUGGACGUAUACGGUGUGACGCCUGCCCGGUGCCGGAAGGUUAAUUGAUGGGGUCAGCGCAAGCGAAGCUCUUGAUCGAAGCCCCGGUAAACGGCGGCCGUAACUAUAACGGUCCUAAGGUAGCGAAAUUCCUUGUCGGGUAAGUUCCGACCUGCACGAAUGGCGUAAUGAUGGCCAGGCUGUCUCCACCCGAGACUCAGUGAAAUUGAACUCGCUGUGAAGAUGCAGUGUACCCGCGGCAAGACGGAAAGACCCCGUGAACCUUUACUAUAGCUUGACACUGAACAUUGAGCCUUGAUGUGUAGGAUAGGUGGGAGGCUUUGAAGUGUGGACGCCAGUCUGCAUGGAGCCGACCUUGAAAUACCACCCUUUAAUGUUUGAUGUUCUAACGUUGACCCGUAAUCCGGGUUGCGGACAGUGUCUGGUGGGUAGUUUGACUGGGGCGGUCUCCUCCUAAAGAGUAACGGAGGAGCACGAAGGUUGGCUAAUCCUGGUCGGACAUCAGGAGGUUAGUGCAAUGGCAUAAGCCAGCUUGACUGCGAGCGUGACGGCGCGAGCAGGUGCGAAAGCAGGUCAUAGUGAUCCGGUGGUUCUGAAUGGAAGGGCCAUCGCUCAACGGAUAAAAGGUACUCCGGGGAUAACAGGCUGAUACCGCCCAAGAGUUCAUAUCGACGGCGGUGUUUGGCACCUCGAUGUCGGCUCAUCACAUCCUGGGGCUGAAGUAGGUCCCAAGGGUAUGGCUGUUCGCCAUUUAAAGUGGUACGCGAGCUGGGUUUAGAACGUCGUGAGACAGUUCGGUCCCUAUCUGCCGUGGGCGCUGGAGAACUGAGGGGGGCUGCUCCUAGUACGAGAGGACCGGAGUGGACGCAUCACUGGUGUUCGGGUUGUCAUGCCAAUGGCACUGCCCGGUAGCUAAAUGCGGAAGAGAUAAGUGCUGAAAGCAUCUAAGCACGAAACUUGCCCCGAGAUGAGUUCUCCCUGACCCUUUAAGGGUCCUGAAGGAACGUUGAAGACGACGACGUUGAUAGGCCGGGUGUGUAAGCGCAGCGAUGCGUUGAGCUAACCGGUACUAAUGAACCGUGAGGCUUAACCUU